AUUUAAAUAGCUUAUACAGAGUAUAAUAUUGAAGAUAUUAAGGAGAUAUAAUUAUCUUUAAAUA
This 64-nucleotide transfer RNA is filed under the name Pareuchaetes insulata. RNAcentral describes it as "tRNA-Phe". The record is from RNAcentral. Lineage: Eukaryota; Metazoa; Arthropoda; Insecta; Lepidoptera; Erebidae.